AGCCCCAGGAAGAGCAGAAAGGAGCGAGCGUGGAACUGGAAGAAAGUCUGGAACACAACCGCGAAUGCGGUUGCUCCCAGGCCAUUGCUGCCGUCGAGCAAGCUCAGCAGCAUCCCCUGGUGGUGUUUCGGGAAGUUUGUGGCACAGGUGGUCAGAACAGCCGUGACUGCAAAGCCUACAGAGGCGCCGACGAGAAACAUAUAGAAGCUCAUUUGCCAUGCCGGUGGACGAGCAAUCUGGUGAGUGAUGGCGAGCCAGGCCAUGGUGUAGCCGAACAGGUUGAGCAAUGCGGAGACGAACAUGGGAGAUUUUGAGCUCCUGUGAGAACAAGCUGAAGCUGGUGAGCGUGCCUCCGGUGAUUGCUAUCAAGUAGAAGCCCGAGACUGCGACGAUCCAGCGAUUGCUGGCGAUGGAGAAGAGUUCCUUGGCCAUUGCUAGCGCCAUUGCUGCCAGCUUUGUGGACCGCACAAGUCCAUGUGACGCUCUGACUCGAGCCGUCGCUUGCUCUUUGAAAUGGCAAGCUUCUUCAAGCAGAGAGUUUAACAUAAACUUGGCAAUAACGUAGUUUCGUGGCUAA
Molecule: long non-coding RNA, 577 nt
Organism: Selaginella moellendorffii
Lineage: Eukaryota; Viridiplantae; Streptophyta; Lycopodiopsida; Selaginellales; Selaginellaceae
Exons: 3
Source: RefSeq, a predicted model, not a curated record